AUUGAACGCUGGCGGCAUGCCUAACACAUGCAAGUCGAGCGGUAACAGGUCUUCGGAUGCUGACUGGUGGUGGACGGGGGAGUAAUACAUAGGAACGUACCCGAUCCUUGUGGGUAAGGGAGCGCAAGCUGUGCUAAUAGCUCAUACCAUCUACUGAUUAGAACCGCGGGGUUCAAGGCCGAGCGACGGCGUUGCUGCCGAUGGUAGAUUAGGUAGUUGGUAGGAUAAAAGCUUACCAAGCCAACGAUUUCUAGCGGGUCUGAGAGGACGACCAGCCACACUGGAACUGAGACACGGCCCAGACUCCUACGGGAGGCAGCAGUGGGGAAUUUUGGACAAUGGGCGAAAGCCUGAUCGAGCCAUGCCGCGUGAAGGAUGAAGGCCUUCGGGUUGUAAACUGCUUUUGUACGGAACGAAAAGACUCUUUCUAAUAAAGAGAGUCCAUGACGGUACCGUAAGAAUAAGCCCCGGCUAACUACGUG
This 482-nucleotide ribosomal RNA is filed under the name uncultured bacterium. RNAcentral's name for it is "partial 16S ribosomal RNA". It matches the Rfam family "Bacterial small subunit ribosomal RNA", at positions 30 to 507 of the family's 1533-position model. The record is from RNAcentral.